RNAcentral lists this ribosomal RNA (417 nucleotides) under Fusobacterium periodonticum. Its description in RNAcentral is "bacterial SSU rRNA". It matches the Rfam family "Bacterial small subunit ribosomal RNA", at positions 28 to 464 of the family's 1533-position model. The record is from RNAcentral. Lineage: Bacteria; Fusobacteriati; Fusobacteriota; Fusobacteriia; Fusobacteriales; Fusobacteriaceae.
GAUGAACGCUGACAGAAUGUUACACAUGCAAGUUACUGAACUCGGUUUGGGUGGCGGACGGGUGAGUAACGCGUAAAGAACUUGCCUCACAGUUAGGGACAACAUUUGGAAACGAAUGUAAUACCUGAUAUUAUGAUUUUAGGGCAUCCUAAGAUUAUGAAAGUAUAUGCGCUGUGAGAGAGCUUUGCGUCCCAUUAGCUAGUUGGAGAGGUAACGGCUCACCAAGGCGAUGAUGGGUAGCCGGCCUGAGAGGGUGAACGGCCACAAGGGGACUGAGACACGGCCCUUACUCCUACGGGAGGCAGCAGUGGGGAAUAUUGGACAAUGGACCAAAAGUUGAUCCAGCAAUUCUGUGUGCACGAUGACGUUUUCGGAAUGUAAAGUGGUCAGUGGGAAGAAAAAAUGACGUACAACAGA